This is a transfer RNA of Nomascus leucogenys (northern white-cheeked gibbon), 72 nucleotides long. It matches the Rfam family "tRNA". From Rfam's summary of the family: Transfer RNA (tRNA) molecules are approximately 80 nucleotides in length. Their secondary structure includes four short double-helical elements and three loops (D, anti-codon, and T loops). NCBI's taxonomy places the organism in Eukaryota, Metazoa, Chordata, Mammalia, Primates, Hylobatidae. The record is from Rfam.
GGGGGUAUAGCUCAGGGUUAGAGCAUCCGACUGCAGACCAAGAGGCCCCCAGUUCGAUUCCAGAUACCCCCU